CCUUUUCCAACUACUAGUACUCUAGUCUAGGAUUAAAUACUUGCCUAAUAUAUAAUAAUAUAUGGCAAAAUAUCAUUGAAUUGUCCAAGAUCUGAACUAAAAACAGGUGUAUGAUGUGAUAUCUGGAAUGCUCAGAGUUUACCCGUACGUACUGGUAUGUGGAUGGGGAGCAUAGUACACCACUCUUGAAUUCCCAACUUCAUCAUUCAUUUAUUUCGUUUAAUUGCGGUUGGUUUCAUGCUUCAAACUACACUAAUUGCUUGAAACCUUCAAAUACAUAUACGGGCAUGCAUGGCUCUGCGGAAUAAUACAUUGUAUUAAACGCCCCUUUAUACAAAUAAGUCGCGUUUACUUGGCCAUGUCCGUGUAAUAAAUUCUAAAUUUACUCACUUUAAUAAAAUUUUAAAAAUAUCUCUUAUUGGGGGAAAAAGCCGAACUAUGCAAUUAUACAACUUUAGUUUCAGUAACAAAGAAAACGUAUUACGUGAAUGGAGAAGAUGGAGAUUGUUAUGAAUGAAGACACAGAUGCAGCAAAAGAGCAUGAGGGAGAAGCAAGAGAAGAAGAAGAGCACAAAAGGUCAAAAAGGAAAAUUAGUAAGUCACAGUACCUUAAGGAUUAUGCAACAAAAUGAGGCUGAGCUGACAAUGAUAUUCUAGAAGCAGAAUUGUGCCGUUAUGGCUUGUCUCCAUGGUAGCGCAAUAUUCAAAUUCCUCCAAGGCAUACAAUGCCAAAAUCUGUUAGAAUUUGUAUAUAGAAUUUGCACUAGAACAUCUAUAUAUAUGAAAGAUAUGUAAUUCUAAUGGAUAACAAUAAAACAGUUUCCUUUUCCUUACCUUAUUUCGGAGGUUCUAGGCCUCGAAUCCUAGACUCUUUUUGUAGUCUACAACAACUUGGUGCUUUCAUUGAUUUUCAUGGCAAAAUCAACCUGCUUUAACUCUAACAUGGAGCGAUUAGAGGAGUUUAUGGCCAAACUGGCUUCAAACCACCUCCCUGUCACUGAAAAGCUCGAUGACUUGUUGCAACGAGUAGCUGCACUAGAAACCACUGUCCAUCAUUCACCUACACCUUCUUCCUCCUCCGCCAUACCUAUACCAAACACACACACUAUUAAUCCCCAUAGAUUGAAACUCGAUGUUCCCAGAUUUGAUGGUUCAGUCCCCUCGGGCUGGGUAUUCAAAAUCACUCAAUUCUUUGAAUACCAUGCAACCCCAGAAUCUAACAGACUGACCAUAGCUUCUUUUUAUAUGGAGGGGCCGACCUUAGCAUGGUUCCAGUGGAUUAUGCGAAAUCAUGAACUCACCACCUGGCCUAGCUUUCUACAAGCUAUUGAAACCCGAUUUGCCCAUUCACCAUAUAAGGACCCUACUGGUCUUUUGUGCAAACUCACACAUACGGGUUUCGUGAAAGAUUACCUUAAUCAAUUUGAAGCCCUUGCCAACACGAUUGUCGGAUUGUUGCCCUCUUUUCUUCUGAGUUGUUUCGUCUCCGGUCUCGACCCGAAUAUUUGUCGGGAGGUACAAGCACUUUAACCCUUCACUCUUGUGGAUGUCGUCGGGCUCGCCCGCCUCCAAGAGGAAAAACUCUUUGAAUCCCGCAGGAACCCUCGCCUUUGACCACCAAUUUUUCCCCACCCUUACCAGCUAUUGUUCUUGCACCCACCCCCACUCUUCCCCUAUUACCCUCACCAGCCAAGCCCCCACCCCUUCCAUUAAAACGCCUUAUCCCUGAAGAAUUAGCAAGCCGUAGGGAGCGCGACUUAUGUUUUUAUUACGACGAGAGGUUCACGAGGGGGCACCGUUGUGCCUCGCGAUUUUUCCUUCUCGUCGCAGAUGAGGAACAAGGCAAUGACACUCCAAGCCCUAAUAUAGCCAACCUUUUCCCCAAUUCUGAUGACAUGGUCGACCUCAAAACCCAACUUAACCCGCAACUUACCCAACAUCCACUCGAACCGCCCCAAGCCCAAAUUAGUUUACAUGCUUUAGCAGGCCAAACCGCCCCAGAAACAUUACGCAUGGUGGGUCAGAUCUUUCACCGGAACGUCGUGAUCUUGGUGGACGGCGGUAGCACGCACAAUUUCGUGCAACAACGCCUGGUGAAAUCCUUGGGCCUUCAAGCUGAAACCACUCCUACCUUGUGCAUGCUGGUCGGCAAUGGUAAUGAAGUGGAAUGUUGCUUCUUAUGUAGGGACCUCAACGUGCAUGUGCAGGGCCACGCCUUCACGGUGGACCUCCAUGUACUUCCUUUGUGCAACAUCGAUGUCAUUUUGGGCGUCCAGUGGCUCAAAGCUCUCAGACCGGUGUUAACCGAUUAUAAUGAUUUGACCAUAAAGUUUGUUCUUAACUACAACCUAAUUGAACUCAAAGGAAAUUCCGACAAAGCCUUGCUAGCAAUUACCCCUCCUCAACUCCGGCGACUAACCCAAACCCAUAGUGCUAGUGAAUACUUCCAUAUUCGCCUUUGUUCCUCAGCUUCACCCUCUCCAACCACUCAUCCCGCUAUCCUUACCUUGACCCACCAAUUUUCCUCCCUUUUCCAAACACCAACUGAUUUACCACCCUCACGCACCACCAACCACUCGAUCCAUCUCUCACCCUAUUCAUCUCUGGUUAAUGUUCGCCCAUACAGGUACCCUCAUUUUCAGAAACAGGAAAUUGAAUCCCAAGUUUCAUGCAUGCUCCAACACAGCAUCAUCAGCCCAAGCACCAACCCCCUUUCCUCACCAGUUUUAUUAGACAAGAACCAGGAUGGAUCCUAGCGAUUCUGCAUGGACUACAGAGCCCUCAAUUCGAUCACCAUCAAGGAUCGCUUCCCGAUUCCGACAAUCGACGAACUGCUCGAUGAACAUGGCGGUGCACGUUGGUUCUCGAAACUGGAUUUACUGAAAGGCUAUCACCAAAUCCUCAUGGCUUCGGCAGAUGUGAGCAAAACUGCAUUGAGGACUCAUCAUGGUCACUAUGAGUUCCUGGUUAUGCCCUUUGGCCUUUGUAACACACCUUCUUCAUUCCAGGCCACAAUGAACACGACCUUUGUUCCUUAUUUGCGUAAAUUUAUCAUCGUCUUUUUUUAUGAUAUUUUAAUUUACAGCAAAUCUUUCUCCGAACACCUCACACACUUGAAUUUAGCUUUUCAGACACUUCGCGAUUAUAGCUUCUUUCUCAAAUUAUCCAAAUGUUCCCUUGCCACUCAACAGGUCGAAUGUUUGGGUCAUUUUGUUUCGGAACGCGGGGUGGAACCUGUUCUGCCAAGGUGGAAGUUGUCCUUCAAUGGCCGAUACCACAGUCAGUCAGAGCCUUACAUGGGUUUUUAGGCCUUUCGUGCUUUUACCGCCGCUUCAUCCAAGGCUAUGCCACCCUGGUUGUGCCACUCACGACCCUGUUGACCAAAGAUUCGUUUCAAUGGUUAAACACCGUUGACCAAGCUUUUCUCUGGUUGAAAGAGGCCUGUGUAAGGCUCUGGUUUUGAGACUAUCGAACUUCUCCUUGCCCUUUGUGGUAGGGACUGACGCCUCUGGAAUCGGUAUGGGAGCGAUUUUAUCCCAACAACAUCACCCUAUAGCCUAUUUCAGCAAGCCUUUUUGUCCAAAGCUACUCCACGCAUCCACCUAUGUUCGAGAACUAGCGACGAUCAUGGCGGCAAUCAAAAAGUGGCGUCAGUACCUACUGGGCCACCAAUUCACAAUCCUCACAGACCACAAAAGUCUUAAGGAACUCAUGGCACAAGCAAUCCAAACUCCGGAGCAACAGACAUACCUCGCGCGCUUAAUGGGUUAUGAUUAUACGAUUCAAUAUUGCGCCAGCAAGACAAAUUUGGUAGCGGAUGCCUUCUCCCGACGACCGGAGAUCACUUCCGGGAGUUUUUUGAUACUAACAAUCCCAAAUUGCAUGUUUUUGCAAAACUUGAAGGCAGAGCUAUCAACCAAUCUAGUGUUUCGGAGGUACCACCAGAAGAUCUUUGACGAACCCUACAAUCACUCCAACUGUCUUUUCUGGCAAGAUUUAAUUUUGCAGAAGGGGCACAUCUGGCUACUACAGGGAGCUCCGUCCAUCUCGACUAUCCUUGUCGAAUUUCACUCAACACCCACCGCAGGACACAUGGGGGUCAUGAAGACAUUAACACGGGUUCGCGAGAACUUUACCUGGGCAAAUAUGAAAAACGGCGUUCGCCAAUAUGUUGCCAACUGCAUUUCAUGUCAACAAUCAAAGUAUGAUCACCGACACUCUCCAGGAUUAUUAUGUCCUUUGCCUAUUCCGACGCGGCCGUGGGAAGACCUUUCCCUAGACUUUAUUGUGGGACUACCAAACUUUCAGGGUCAUUCGACCAUUCUGGUCGUUGUAGACCACUUCUCGAAAGGAGUUCAUUUGGGCAUGUUACCGACACAGUACUCAGCUUCCGGCGUGGCAAGGAUGUUCAUGGACAUCGUCGGCAAAAUCCACAGCAUGCCUCGAAGUUUGGUUUUAGAUAGGGAUCCCCCUCUUUGUGAGUCAUUUUUGGUACAAGCUAAGCGGCACGAAGCUCCGCAUGGGCUCAGCAUACCACCCUCAGACCGACGGACAGACAGAGGUCAUGAACCGUGUCAUCGAGCAGUACCUCAGAGCCUUUGUCCAUUAGAGACCAUCCACAUGGGAGCGAUUCUUGAUAUGGGCGGAGUGGUAGUAUAACACCUCUGUGCACUCUGCAACUGGAAUGUCCCUAUAUGAGAUAACCUUCGGCAAGAAACCUCCAAGCUUACUUCAAUACCUGGAGGAAACUUCAAAUGUGGAAGCAGUUGAUGAAUGACUUAAGCAACGGGAUCAAGUUCUUACUAGUCUAGCAAGGAAGUUGGCAAAGGCACAACAAUGAAUGAAAUAGUUUGCCGAUAAACAACAUCGUGAUAUGAAUUUCGAAGUAGGAGGCUGGGUGUUGGUCAAAUUACGACCCCGCCGGCAGACGACCGUCACCGGAAGCAAAUAUUCUAAACUCGCGAAAAGAUUCUAUGAUCCCUUUCAAGUUAUCCAAUGAAUCGGGGUAGUUGCGUACAAGCUGGAAUUGCCGCCAACUUCAAAGAUUCAUCCAGUGUUCCAUUGUUGCUUAUUAAAACCAUUCCAAUUUCAAUCCACCACAACAGACCCUAGCCUGGAGUUGCCAGCUUUAUUAGAGGAUAAUCAACCCCUCACAAUCCUCGACACAAAAUGGGAACAGACAGCUUCGGGAAGACAAUUACUUGUCCUAGUUCAAUGGACAGGAUUACUUCCAGAAGACACUUCAUGGGAGAAGUGGGAGAACCUUAAAAAGGAUUACAACCUUGAGGACAAGGUUGUUUUGGAAGCUCGGAGGGAUGUUAUGAAUGAAGACACAGAGCAAGAUGCAACAACAGAGCAUGAGGCAGAAGCAAGAGAAGAAGGUCAAAAAGGGAAAUUAGUAAGCCCCAGUACCUUAAGGAUUAUGCAACAAAAUGAGGCUAAGCUGGCAAUGAUCUUCUAGAAGCAGAAUCCACGAAUCCUCUGUGUCGUUGUGCCAUUACAGGUUGUCUCCAUGGUAGCGCAAUAUUCAAAUUCCUCCAAGACAUACAAUGCCAAAAUCUGUUAGAAUUUGUAUCUAGAAUUUAUAGCAGAACGUCUAUAUAUAUGAAGGAUAUGUAAUUCUAAUGGAUAACAAUAAAAUAGUUUCCCUUUCCUUACCUUAUUCUGGAGGUUCUAGGCCUCGAAUCCUAGACUCUUUCUGUAGUCCACAACAGAGACCUAAAAGAAUGUUAGAAAAAAUCAUCAAGGGAGACUAGCUAAAGAAUAUCUCUGAAAUUUAUCUGUGACAAAUGAUAUUAUAUUAUUCACGUAGUUGACCUCACUCACUCAGUAAAAUAAGACUUUAUUAUUAUACUAGAAUCGGUAUAUAUAGAUAAUGGAGUUGCUGCCUUGCAGGCUAAUGCAGUUACAUGGUGGCAUCAAAAUGUUAGUAACAAUACUUAAAGGAAACUGUUAGAACUUAAAAGGGCUAAUUAAGUGGUUAGGCAGAACCCUAUAAAUAUAACAAAUCAAUGUAUAUUAUAUUGCAAGGUUUGGGGACCUAAGACCCUCUAGAGAUGAUAAUGGAUGCUGAGCUUGUU
RNAcentral lists this long non-coding RNA (6080 nucleotides) under Glycine max (soybean). Its description in RNAcentral is "long non-coding RNA (GMAX_LNC000635)". The record is from RNAcentral. Lineage: Eukaryota; Viridiplantae; Streptophyta; Magnoliopsida; Fabales; Fabaceae.